ACUCCUACGGGAGGCAGCAGUGGGGAAUCUUGGACAAUGGGCGCAAGCCUGAUCCAGCCAUGCCGCGUGAGUGAUGAAGGCCCUAGGGUCGUAAAAGCUCUUUCGCCAGGGAUGAUAAUGACAGUACCUGGUAAAGAAACCCCGGCUAACUCCGUGCCAGCAGCCGCGGUAAUACGGAGGGGGUUAGCGUUGUUCGGAAUUACUGGGGCGUAAAGCGCGCGUAGGCGGACUGGAAAGUUGGGGGUGAAAUCCCGGGGGCUCAACCUCGGAACUGCCUCCAAAACUCCCAGUCUUGAGUUCGAGAGAGGUGAGUGGAAUUCCGAGUGUAGAGGUGAAAUUCGUAGAUAUUCGGAGGAACACCAGUGGCGAAGGCGGCUCACUGGCUCGAUACUGACGCUGAGGUGCGAAAGUGUGGGGAGCAAACAGGAUUAGAUACCCUGGUAGCGACUGA
This 451-nucleotide ribosomal RNA is filed under the name uncultured bacterium. RNAcentral describes it as "bacterial SSU rRNA". It matches the Rfam family "Bacterial small subunit ribosomal RNA", at positions 335 to 799 of the family's 1533-position model. The record is from RNAcentral.